This 1395-nucleotide ribosomal RNA is filed under the name bacterium NLAE-zl-P357. Its description in RNAcentral is "16S ribosomal RNA". It matches the Rfam family "Bacterial small subunit ribosomal RNA". The record is from RNAcentral.
CAUGCAAGUCGAGGGGCAGCAUUUCAGUUUGCUUGCAAACUGGAGAUGGCGACCGGCGCACGGGUGAGUAACACGUAUCCAACCUGCCGAUAACUCGGGGAUAGCCUUUCGAAAGAAAGAUUAAUACCCGAUGGNAUAAUCAGACCGCAUGGUCUUAUUAUUAAAGAAUUUCGGUUAUCGAUGGGGAUGCGUUCCAUUAGGCAGUUGGUGAGGUAACGGCUCACCAAACCUUCGAUGGAUAGGGGUUCUGAGAGGAAGGUCCCCCACAUUGGAACUGAGACACGGUCCAAACUCCUACGGGAGGCAGCAGUGAGGAAUAUUGGUCAAUGGGCGCAGGCCUGAACCAGCCAAGUAGCGUGAAGGAUGACUGCCCUAUGGGUUGUAAACUUCUUUUAUAUGGGAAUAAAGUUUUCCACGUGUGGAAUUUUGUAUGUACCAUAUGAAUAAGGAUCGGCUAACUCCGUGCCAGCAGCCGCGGUAAUACGGAGGAUCCGAGCGUUAUCCGGAUUUAUUGGGUUUAAAGGGAGCGUAGGUGGACAGUUAAGUCAGUUGUGAAAGUUUGCGGCUCAACCGUAAAAUUGCAGUUGAUACUGGCUGUCUUGAGUACAGUAGAGGUGGGCGGAAUUCGUGGUGUAGCGGUGAAAUGCUUAGAUAUCACGAAGAACUCCGAUUGCGAAGGCAGCUCACUGGACUGCAACUGACACUGAUGCUCGAAAGUGUGGGUAUCAAACAGGAUUAGAUACCCUGGUAGUCCACACAGUAAACGAUGAAUACUCGCUGUUUGCGAUAUACAGUAAGCGGCCAAGCGAAAGCAUUAAGUAUUCCACCUGGGGAGUACGCCGGCAACGGUGAAACUCAAAGGAAUUGACGGGGGCCCGCACAAGCGGAGGAACAUGUGGUUUAAUUCGAUGAUACGCGAGGAACCUUACCCGGGCUUAAAUUGCAUUUGAAUANUNUGGAAACAGGNUAGCCGCAAGGCAAAUGUGAAGGUGCUGCAUGGUUGUCGUCAGCUCGUGCCGUGAGGUGUCGGCUUAAGUGCCAUAACGAGCGCAACCCUUAUCUUUAGUUACUAACAGGUCAUGCUGAGGACUCUAGAGAGACUGCCGUCGUAAGAUGUGAGGAAGGUGGGGAUGACGUCAAAUCAGCACGGCCCUUACGUCCGGGGCUACACACGUGUUACAAUGGGGGGUACAGAAGGCAGCUACCUGGUGACAGGAUGCUAAUCCCAAAAGCCUCUCUCAGUUCGGAUCGAAGUCUGCAACCCGACUUCGUGAAGCUGGAUUCGCUAGUAAUCGCGCAUCAGCCAUGGCGCGGUGAAUACGUUCCCGGGCCUUGUACACACCGCCCGUCAAGCCAUGAAAGCCGGGGGUACCUGAAGUACGUAACCGCAAGGAG